UGGCUCAGGACGAACGCUGGCGGCGUGCCUAAUACAUGCAAGUCGAGCGAAUGACGAGGAGCUUGCUCCUUUGAUUUAGCGGCGGACGGGUGAGUAACACGUGGGUAACCUACCCUAUAGACUGGGAUAACUUCGGGAAACCGGAGCUAAUACCGGAUAAUACUUUUGAACACAUGUUCGAAAGUCGAAAGAUGGUUUCGGCUAUCACUAUAGGAUGGACCCGCGGCGCAUUAGCUAGUUGGUGGGGUAAUGGCUCACCAAGGCAACGAUGCGUAGCCGACCUGAGAGGGUGAUCGGCCACACUGGGACUGAGACACGGCCCAGACUCCUACGGGAGGCAGCAGUAGGGAAUCUUCCACAAUGGACGAAAGUCUGAUGGAGCAACGCCGCCGUGAGUGAAGAAGGAUUUCGGUUCGUAAAACUCUGUUGCAAGGGAAGAACAAGUAGCGUAGUAACUGGCGCUACCUUGACGGUACCUUGUUAGAAAGCCACGGCUAACUACGUGCCAGCCGCCGC
Molecule: ribosomal RNA, 516 nt
Filed under: uncultured bacterium
Lineage: Bacteria
Description: bacterial SSU rRNA
Rfam family: Bacterial small subunit ribosomal RNA
Source: RNAcentral